GCUUAACACAUGCAAGUCGAGGGGCAGCGGGGGUAGCGAUACCCGCCGGCGACCGGCGCACGGGUGAGUAACGCGUAUGCAACUUGCCUAUCAGAGGGGGAUAACCCGGCGAAAGUCGGACUAAUACCGCAUGAAGCAGGGGCCCCGCAUGGGGAUAUUUGCUAAAGAUUCAUCGCUGAUAGAUAGGCAUGCGUUCCAUUAGGCAGUUGGCGGGGUAACGGCCCACCAAACCGACGAUGGAUAGGGGUUCUGAGAGGAAGGUCCCCCACAUUGGUACUGAGACACGGACCAAACUCCUACGGGAGGCAGCAGUGAGGAAUAUUGGUCAAUGGCCGAGAGGCUGAACCAGCCAAGUCGCGUGAGGGAUGAAGGUUCUAUGGAUCGUAAACCUCUUUUAUAAGGGAAUAAAGUGCGGGACGUGUCCCGUUUUGUAUGUACCUUAUGAAUAAGGAUCGGCUAACUCCGUGCCAGCAGCCGCGGUAAUACGGAGGAUCCGAGCGUUAUCCGGAUUUAUUGGGUUUAAAGGGUGCGUAGGCGGCCUUUUAAGUCAGCGGUGAAAGUCUGUGGCUCAACCAUAGAAUUGCCGUUGAAACUGGGGGGCUUGAGUAUGUUUGAGGCAGGCGGAAUGCGUGGUGUAGCGGUGAAAUGCAUAGAUAUCACGCAGAACCCCGAUUGCGAAGGCAGCCUGCCAAGCCAUUACUGACGCUGAUGCACGAAAGCGUGGGGAUCAAACAGGAUUAGAUACCCUGGUAGUCCACGCAGUAAACGAUGAUCACUAGCUGUUUGCGAUACACUGUAAGCGGCACAGCGAAAGCGUUAAGUGAUCCACCUGGGGAGUACGCCGGCAACGGUGAAACUCAAAGGAAUUGACGGGGGCCCGCACAAGCGGAGGAACAUGUGGUUUAAUUCGAUGAUACGCGAGGAACCUUACCCGGGUUUGAACGCAUUCGGACCGAGGUGGAAACACCUUUUCUAGCAAUAGCCGUUUGCGAGGUGCUGCAUGGUUGUCGUCAGCUCGUGCCGUGAGGUGUCGGCUUAAGUGCCAUAACGAGCGCAACCCUUGCCACUAGUUACUAACAGGUAAAGCUGAGGACUCUGGUGGGACUGCCAGCGUAAGCUGCGAGGAAGGCGGGGAUGACGUCAAAUCAGCACGGCCCUUACAUCCGGGGCGACACACGUGUUACAAUGGCGUGGACAAAGGGAGGCCACCUGGCGACAGGGAGCGAAUCCCCAAACCACGUCUCAGUUCGGAUCGGAGUCUGCAACCCGACUCCGUGAAGCUGGAUUCGCUAGUAAUCGCGCAUCAGCCAUGGCGCGGUGAAUACGUUCCCGGGCCUUGUACACACCGCCCGUCAAGCCAUGGGAGCCGGGGGUACCUGAAGUCCGUAACCGAAAGGAUCGGCCUAGGGUAAAACUGGUGACUGGGGCUAAG
RNAcentral lists this ribosomal RNA (1432 nucleotides) under uncultured organism. RNAcentral's name for it is "16S ribosomal RNA". It matches the Rfam family "Bacterial small subunit ribosomal RNA". The record is from RNAcentral.